AUCCGGGUUUUGGCCUUAGCUACGCUGCUGGACCCAAGAUUCAAAACUAUUGACUUUGGCAAUCCAGACCAUGUCAGAGAGGCUGAGAGACAACUCACCUUGGAAUGCGCAUCCCUAAUGUGGUCCUCGCCAGACACUGUGCACGUGACACCCCAAGAGCCACAGCCUUCAACAUCAGCCCUGGCCCCAUCCUUGGAAGCAGCAUGUCCCACAGACCAUCUAUGGCAACUUUUGGACUUGCGUGUUUCCGAGGCUCAAAGAGUCCACAGUGCCACUGCAGAUGCCACUGUGGAGGUGAAGAGAUAUCUAACAGAUGCCUAUCUUGGUAGACAAGAAGAUCCACUCCUGUAUUGGAAGGAGAGAAUAACUGUUUACCCCAAUCUUUAUCAGCUUGCCAUCAAAUAUCUUUGUCUGCCAGCAACGUCUGUUCCCAGUGAACGCAUUUUAUCAAAGGCUGGGGAAGUCCUCUGCAAAAAAAAGGAGUCGCCUGAAGCCCAGCACAGCAGAGCAAAUCAUUUUUCUAAAUAAAAAUGUCUAAAACCGCUGCACUCGCCAACUUUAUUGAAAGCUUCCCAGGUCAAAGUUCUUGAGCGUCCACAUUCCAGUGAUAUUUGAAAUGGUUGUGUUGACAGAAACUUGAAUGUGUUUGGCUAUGUGGCUACCUCGGACUUUGGAAGGAGCACUUGGAUUGACUACAGUUCUAUUUCUACACUUUUUUCUUGGAUUUGUACGACUAUUUCACUCCAGUUUUUAUGGAGUUGUAAGUGUGUGUUUUUGGGAGUGUUUUUUCCCUCUAUAAAGGAUUACCAAAAACUACAAUGCAUUUUGGAUGAGUUUUGAGAAGUGAUUUAGGCCUAACAAAUGUCUCAAGAUCACCAGUCUGUCAAAAACCACUGACGAGGCGGACACUUUGGAAAUUUAAGAGGU
Erpetoichthys calabaricus (reedfish) is the source of this 927-nucleotide long non-coding RNA. RefSeq lists it as uncharacterized. The record is from RefSeq and is a predicted model, not a curated record. The transcript is spliced from 3 exons. NCBI's taxonomy places the organism in Eukaryota, Metazoa, Chordata, Cladistia, Polypteriformes, Polypteridae.